UACGGAGGAUCCAAGCGUUACCCGGAAUUAUUGGGCGUAAAGAGUUGCGUAGGCGGUUUGUUAAGUGGAAUGUGAAAUCUCCUGGCUCAACCAGGAGGGUAUAUUCCAAACUGGCAAACUAGAGGAUGGUAGAGGUAAGUGGAAUUGCUGGUGUAGGAGUGAAAUCCGUAGAUAUCAGCAGGAACACCAAUGGCGAAGGCAGCUUACUGGGCCAUUUCUGACGCUAAGGCACGAAAGCGUGGGGAGCGAA
RNAcentral lists this ribosomal RNA (250 nucleotides) under uncultured bacterium. RNAcentral's name for it is "partial 16S ribosomal RNA". It matches the Rfam family "Bacterial small subunit ribosomal RNA", at positions 524 to 772 of the family's 1533-position model. The record is from RNAcentral.